GACGAACGCUGGCGGCGUGCUUAACACAUGCCAGUCGAACGGAAAGGCCCUGCUCUUGUGGGGUUCUCGAGUGGCGCACGGGUGAGUAACACGUGAGUAACCUGCCCUUGUCUUUGGGAUAACUUCAGGAAACUGGGGCUAAUAUCGGAUAGGAGCUCCUGCUGCAUAGUGGGGGAUGGAAAGUUUCGGCGGUUGGGGCUGGACUCGCUGGUUAUCAGCUUGUUGGUGGGGUAGGGGCUUACCAGGGCUUUGACGGGUAGCCGGCAUGGGAGCGGUGACAGGCUCAUUGGUACUGAGAUACGGCCCAGACGCCAACGGGAGGCAGCAGUGGGGAAUAUUGCACAAUGGGCGGAAGCCUGAGGCAGCAGCGCCGCGUGCGGGAUGACGGCCUUCGGGUUGUAAACCGCUUUCGCCUGUGACGAAGCGUGAGUGACGGUAAUGGGUAAAGAAGCACCGGCUAACUACGUG
This 468-nucleotide ribosomal RNA is filed under the name uncultured bacterium. Its description in RNAcentral is "partial 16S ribosomal RNA". It matches the Rfam family "Bacterial small subunit ribosomal RNA", at positions 28 to 507 of the family's 1533-position model. The record is from RNAcentral.